GCGCUCUUGCUUUGCAGGAUUGCAGCCUCCGAAGCUGUAGGUUGCGCGUUCGAGCCGCGCCGGGCGCA
RNAcentral lists this transfer RNA (68 nucleotides) under Verrucomicrobiota bacterium. RNAcentral describes it as "tRNA-Arg". The record is from RNAcentral. Lineage: Bacteria; Pseudomonadati; Verrucomicrobiota.